GAUGAACGCUGGCGGCGUGCUUAAUACAUGCAAGUCGAACGGGGACCGAGCAAUCGGUUCUAGUGGCGAACGGGUGCGUAACGCGUUGGUGACCUGCCCCGAAGCGGGGGAUACCAGCUCGAAAGGGCUGCUAAUACCCCAUGUGGACGCCCGAGUUAGAGACGGGUGAUCUAAAGGCGGGCUCGUAAGAGCCCUGUCGUUUUGGGAGGGACCUGCGUCCCAUCAGCUAGUUGGUAGGGUAGUGGCCUACCAAGGCGACGACGGGUAGGGGGCCUGAGAGGGUGGCCCCCCACACUGGCACUGAAAUACGGGCCAGACACCUACGGGUGGCAGCAGUAGGGAAUAUUGCACAAUGGGCGCAAGCCUGAUGCAGCAACGCCGCGUGCGCGAUGAAGGCCUUCGGGUCGUAAAGCGCUUUUCGGGGAGAAGAGGAAGGACUGUACCCCCGGAAUAAGUCUCGGCUAACUACGUGCCAGCAGCCGCGGUAAAACGUAGGAGGCAAGCGUUAUCCGAAUUUACUGGGCGUAAAGCGUGUGCAGGCGGCUUGAUAAGUUGGGUGUGAAAUCUCCCGGCUCAACUGGGAGAGGUCGCUCAAGACUGUCAGGCUGGAGGGCAGUAGAGGGUGGUGGAAUUCCCGGUGUAGUGGUGAAAUGCGUAGAUAUCGGGAGGAACACCUGUGGCGAAAGCGGCCACCUGGACUGUACCUGACGCUGAGACACGAAAGCUAGGGGAGCGAACGGGAUUAGAAACCCCGGUAGUCCUAGCCGUAAACGAUGUAGACUGGGUGUCGGUGGGGUAAAAGCCAUCGGUGCCGAAGCUAACGCGCUAAGUCUACCGCCUGGGGACUACGGCCGCAAGGUUA
This 862-nucleotide ribosomal RNA is filed under the name uncultured bacterium. RNAcentral describes it as "bacterial SSU rRNA". It matches the Rfam family "Bacterial small subunit ribosomal RNA", at positions 28 to 896 of the family's 1533-position model. The record is from RNAcentral.